UCAAAAUGUACUUAGAGGAUAAAUUGUGAUAAGGUCUCUUAAUCAUUCAGAUGAUCAUAUAACAUGAUACUAAAGUACUCUCCCAUCUUUUCAGAUUUGAGAAUCUAUUAUCCUUCUGCCUAAGUUGAUUCUUUUUAUUCACUUUGUCAUACAUUGGAACCUUUUUCCAAUGUCUCAGAAUUACACUUAAGCUUGUAAGUAUAACCAUAUUUACUGAGCUUUAGUAAAUUAUGACGAAUAANCGAUCUUUAGUGGUGGACUUAAUCAGUGCACAAGAAUGUGUACUCGAUCCCUAAGUCCUUUACUUGACUCACACAUCCAUGUGAACAAGUAAUUAGUCUUAAUUUUCCAAAACUUGAAAGUUCUCAUUCAUCAUGCUAUACAACUUGCAUGAUUCCAAGUUCCGGUCCAAUUGAAACUUGGGUGAUGAGAAUCUUUCCUUAUUUGGUAAAUUUAGACAUUACCACAAAUGAAAGAAUCAAUUUCAUACUUCCACUCUUGCUACUAAUGGAAUCUUAUAAGCAACAAAAAUUUCCACAGAUGCCAUUGUAAGGAUAUUUUAAAAUAAAUAAAAUCAAAAAUUUCCUUUUAUUUUAAAACUUUGCGGAAAAACUAUCCUUACAAUCCAUAUGAAAACUUGUUGUUAUCUAUUCCUAAGCAAUAUCUCAUAACUCCUAAGAAGUAGCUCAAGAAUCCGAUUUUUCAAACUAUGCGAUAGAAAUCCAUCUAUGCGAUCAGAUUCAGCAUAUUCUUUCUUUAAGUUUCUUUACUUUUCUUUGAUUCUUAAAGCAUCACCAUGUGACCCGGUCACAUCAUGUAUCAAGAAUCUUAGAAUAGAAACUUAGCAGAGUUAGAUAGUGGACUUUACUUGAAGUUGUGUCAAACUUAUUGACUUUAACAUCCUUAGGUAAAUUGGCAGCUUCACAACUAAUGCCCCUUUCUUUGGCAAUGGACCCUUGAUAAUGAGACUAUCUUAGACUUAGCCUCUCUCUUUACGAGUUAGUUAACCGAUUUGACUAUGGCCGAUCCCUUUCCAUUGGGAAGAGAGAGCUUUACUGGAUAUCCAAUGUCAUCAUUGUCAAUGUCCAUCAAGUUUUAGGAAGUUGAUCUUAGCAAAUAGAUAAGAUCAUUAAGGGUCUUGUCAUACUCUGUUUCAUAGGAUUCCCAAAGGAACUCACUAGGUGACUUAGAAAGUAGUUGGGCCACCAAAUUUCUCAAGACUUUGACACCCACUCUCCUGGCUUGUCAAUAUGUNUACAUCUCCAAGAUGUGAUCACACAUAGACCUUAGCUUGCCAAUAGGGCUUGAGUGACCUUAAACUUUUCAAGAACUUGUGGGUUAGGGAGAAUAAUUUGAGGAGGUGAAAGAAGUAUGAUUUCCAUGGGACAUCAUCUUCAUUUAGGAAAGCUUGUUUCAAGAGAUUUGGGAAGAUCAUAAAUGUCUAAACCAGACAUCUUUUGGGAGAUAUUCAAGAUAGUUGAUCUUAAGUCCUUAAUAUGACACCCAAUAUGAAAUAUUAAGGCUAGGACCCAACAAACUAUUUUAUAACUUAGAAGAGGGAUGCCGUAAUCCAAGCUAUAAAAUAUUUGAAGGUAGGUGAAUGACGAUUCACCAAUUUUUACCAUGAAAAACAAAAUAAUUAUUAGGUUUUAAUUGGAUUUGAAACUCCUAGAUCUUUUGAGAUUCAUUGAACUUUUCAAUGGCAUGUUUCAAUCUCGAGUGUGCCCUUCAGGUUUGUGACUAGGAUGCCGAGGAUCACAAAACAACGUGUGAAGUAAGCAUGCAAAUAUACUGGGUACCCUUAAUAUUUAACCCUUAAUCGAUGUGUCGGUUAAACAUAUACGCUCCACUGCUACUAUGAUAAAUAUUAAGUUACCCCUUUGCCUACCUUUUUAAGUCCAGGUUAGUGUGCCGGUUAACCACACACGCUCCACUAACGACUUAAGCAAAGUGUAAAGUGUAAUUUCAUGGAUUAGCACCUUAUUCACAUUUUCCUAAGUAACUAAGAUUGGGUAUUAUUAAGAGUUUAGUUACUUAGUAUUUAUCAUUAAUACUUUUAAUGAAGGGAGAAUUAUAGUCCUGUCAAACCCGUUCGGCUAACGACCCUCCACCAGUCAAGCAAGCGGUGGGUGAGAGUGGACACCCAUUAAGUUGCCAUUUUAUAGGCAACAACCUUAUACCCACCUUAUAGACCGGCUUCGUGAAUGAGGCGUACUAGCGGUAAGACUGACUUUACUCUUAUACAUAUAUAUAUUAUUAACUUAUAAUAUUAUAAAGUAUAAGGGUUGAAUUUUAACUUUUAAAAUUCUAAGGGCUAACUUGGAAUUAAAGUAUUCAUAAGUGAAAACUUUACAAAUUCCAAAACUUGAGGGCAAGUUUUGAAACUAUUCAAAACUAAUUAAUUCCAUAACUUAUGUGUUUAAAGUAGUUUUAAUCCAAAAACUCUUCAAGUUCCAUAACUUGAGGACAAGUUAUGGAAGACUUUAAACUAAUAAAAGAAUAUAACUUAUCUUUAUUUUAGAACUUAUGGAAGUAAUUAUGGUUACAUAUUUUUCUUUAAUGAAGUGACUCUUGAACUUCCAUAACUUGAGGACAAGUUAUGGAGUCAUAAAAAAAUUAUUCAAUGACACAAGACUCUUCAUUUUGUAACCAUUGCCAACUCUUAUGAGUUUUAUGAGUCUUUAAUGUGACUCUUCAUGUAACUUGAGGACAAGUUACACAAACACAUUUUAUACUCAACUCUUAGAUUAAAAUGGAUUGAAAACAACUAUUUCACUCAACAUUUCUAUUAAUCUAAGCAACUCAUAAGAACAAGAUAAUUCAAAUCAAACUUUUUCAUGUAAUUAGUCUAAACCUUAAACUAAUACAAAACAUGAAUCUAUUGACAAUUAUCUUUGAAAUUGGAUUAGCAUGAACAUUACCACAUCAAAAACAAGUUUAUAAGUCCAAAAACAUCUUAGGGUAAUGUUCUUAGUCCAAUUCCAGCCAAAAAAGUUGAAUAUAUGAUGUCUGGGGGUCCAACUCGUCGAGUGCAUGAACCAACUCGGCGAGUUGGAUCGUUUUGAUCACUUUUUAGGCAUGGACUCGUCGAGUCUCCUGAUGGACUCGCUGAGUCUGUUGCCCAGACAGCAAACAACUUCGAUUUUUUAAGCAGUUUUGAAAGUAUAACAAGAAAACAAGCAUAGGCUCUGAUACCACUAUUGGGUUUUGAGCAUUCUAACUCUCCUAAGUGUACAUGCAACCCUAAAUACCUUGGAUCUAUUUUUUCUCUAUUAUACAUACAAAUAUGAACAUCCAAGGUAUUAUCCUAAUCUAGCAUACAAAACAAUGAAUAUAACAAGAUAGAAUACAUACCUCUUUGAUGUAGAAUGUCUUCAUGAAGCUUGAGUGCCUAGUGCCUCAAGUGUGACACCUCAAAUGGUUUACACAACACCAAAUACACUUGGAAUGACAUGAGAGAAAUCCACAAUUCAUGAAAUCGGCUAGCCCUUCUUUUACACACACUAGUGGCCGAUUUUGGUGAAUAAUAUGAUGCUUAUAUAGUGUGUUACAAUUAGGGUUACACUAUGUAAACCCUAAUUAUCAUCACCUUUCAUUUCCAUGACCUAUGGGUUAUGUAACCUCCAUGGAGCAUCCUAUGGGUUUAACCCAACUCGAUUAUCCGUGGAGAUUUGGCCCACUAUAUAAGUUAUGGAUGAUUUGCACAAUCAACCCAUAUAUUUAAUUAGUCUUCUUUUGAUCACAUAAUUAAUUCUAAAUUAAUUUUUGAUCAAUACUAAUUAAAUAUAAUUAUUCUUAUUAUUAAUAUACUAGAACUUAUAAUAUAUUAAUAACCAUAAGUCUCUUAUUUCUCUCAUUUAGUCUAUCUAAGUGCAUGAUGCCAUGCAACUCAAAUAAACCAUGCCGGGUCGGGUCAAGUCUUACCAAUUAUAGUUAUGGAGUUAGACUUUAAUCCAACAAAAACAUGAUACUAAAGUAGUCUCCCAUCUUUUCAGAUUUGAGAAACUUUUAUCUUUCUGCCAAAUUUGAUUCUUCCCAUUCAUUUUGCCAUACAUCAUAACUUUUCCAAUGUUUCAGAAUUAUACUUAAACUAUUGAGUAUAACAAUAUUUACUAAACUUUAGUAAAUCAUGAUGAAUAGUCUCAUUGAUCUUUUUGGUGGACUUUGACCUGCACACACCCAGUGUUCCCGAUCCUUUAGUCUUUCACCUAAUUCACAUGUACAUAUGGUCAGGGAAUUAGUCUUAACUUUCCAAAAAAAAUGAAAAUUCUCAUUCAUCAUGCAAUACAACCUGCAUGAUUCCAAGUUUCGGUCCAAUUGAAACUUGGGUGAUAAGAAUCUUUCCUUAUUUGGUAAAUUUAGACACUACCACAGAUGAAAGAAUCAAAUUCAUUAUUGCU
RNAcentral lists this long non-coding RNA (4400 nucleotides) under Lactuca sativa (garden lettuce). Its description in RNAcentral is "long non-coding RNA (LSAT_LNC009474)". The record is from RNAcentral. Lineage: Eukaryota; Viridiplantae; Streptophyta; Magnoliopsida; Asterales; Asteraceae.